AAAAUAGUCAAAAUAAAGAAAAACCCUUGAAUGAGUAGGUGCUCUAAAACGUUUGACCGGUAGUGUACAUGUAAUGUAUAGCCCACAGUGUUAAACUCCUCCUCAUGGCUGUUAUAGAGUUGGCGAAUACUCCACUAUCUCCUUGAUUAAACUAAUGUCAAAUCCCAACAGCUUUCUCUUGUCAUGCCAUCUGCAUUGAGAGUAUACAUCAAUUCAAGGCCAUGAAGAUAAUAUGCCAUCUUCUACAAAGUGCUAUUCUGUAAAGUACACCAUCUUCAUUUACAUAGGAAUGCUCAUGGGCUACCCCUUGUUCAUUGCUGUCAUUAGUUUCUGUCUUUCCACACAAGAAAAUGCACUGCUUAAAAGUGCAAUAUGCAGAAAUCGCUCUGCCAUUUCCUGGUUGUUCUAAUUCUAAUAGUUUGCUUAAUUUCAGUUAAUGUGACAAAACAAGUGACCUAAUGUGUAGAGAAACAUUGUACCAUCUAAAUCGCUGUGAAAUAUCUUUUCAAUUGUUUUUCAGCUGUUUGAAGCUGGUGUACAAAGCCGAAAGUAAAAGAUGCGGAAACGAAACGGGAAGCAUAAAAAUAGCGCACUUCUACAGCUUCUUAGACUUGCUUUCAACGAUAAUGACAGAUCUAUCACUCACAUUUCUACGUCAAUUUGGUCGACCAAAAAAAAAAAGACCUACUGCAGCUUUAAAGUCUUGAACUCCAACCACAACACUUGCUGGCGUCAAACAGCAUGUCAGAUAUUCAAACCUUGUGUACUUUUCUUCUCUUUGUAAAAUUAACAAUCCAAUCCAGUCCAAUUUGAGUUUGCAAAGAAACAACAGGUUUUAUUUUGAUUGUUUAUCUUUGUUGUUGGCUCUAUAAAUGUUAAAUGUACUCACUUCUUUGGUAUCAUUAUGUACAGUCUCUUUGGUCAUUAAGUGGGGUCCGAAAUGAUUGACACCCUUGAUAAAGAUUAGCAAAAAUGACUGUAUAAAAUAUCUCAUUCAAAUAUUGAGCUGCUGUAUAUUGUAUGCAACAAAAAAGUGGGAAAUUAUAUUAGUUUAUACCAAUACAAUUUCUCAGAGAAAGAGAUUUUGUUUUUUUGUUGAAUUCCUCAAAAAAGUAGGGGUAAAAAUUAUUGACUCCCCUGUUUUCAAUACCUUUCAAUACCUAACGGCACUGAGCCUUAUUCUAAAAUGUUUUAUGAGUUGGAGAACACAUUGGGAGGGAUCAUUCCUCCUUACAGAAUCCUUACAGAUCCUAGAUAUCUAUUGCACAGAUGCUCAUGGACUGCCCUUUUCAAAUUUAAACCACAGCUUGUAGUACUAAAAAUCAGAAAUUAGUUAGCAUUUUCCAAUGAACACUUCGCAAUGGCCAUCUACACCAUGGACUUAAAACCCAUUAAAAACCUGCGUUUUGUAUUGAAGGGAUAUGUCCAUGAACACAGACAAAGGAUAUCAAGGAUUCGGAAUCAUUAUGUAUGGAGGAAUGGUCUAAGAUCCUACCCAAUGUGUUUUCCAACUCGUAAAAUAUUUGUUUUAAAGGCUGUCGUUAUCCUUGCAAGGUGAGGUAUUGAAAACAGGAGUCUUAUUCAUUUUGACUCCUACCUUUUUGAGAUAAAAAAUAUUACAUUACUUGUUAAUAUUUUUGUAUAUAAUUUAGCUUAGUAUUUUAAUAAUUUAUUUUAUACAGUCAUUUUUGCUCAUCUUUAUCAAGGGUCUCAAUAAUUCCGGACCCCACUGUUUAGUACAAAACGAUGAUUGCCCAACAAUUGUAAAUUCAGAGUAAGUUGUAGGGUGGGUGUAUAUUUUAUUACUCAAAAUCUGAAUAAAAAGAACUGCAUUACUGUGAAAUAUUCCCAGAGAGUCAGAUCGUUUAAAAAUUAUUUAGAGAAUUGCAAGAAAUUAAGAACCUUUUCUGACAGAGAACUGUCAUAUCCUGCUGAUUGAUUGCAUUGAUGGUCCAAAAUAAAUGUGAAAUGCACCUUUACAUGAGUGAGUCAGUCAAUUGACUUUGGGUAUGUUAAAAGAGAAGAAUAAUACAAAUAAAGUUGGCAAGAUAUCUAUUUA
Molecule: long non-coding RNA, 2059 nt
Organism: Oncorhynchus tshawytscha (Chinook salmon)
Lineage: Eukaryota; Metazoa; Chordata; Actinopteri; Salmoniformes; Salmonidae
Source: Ensembl